This 922-nucleotide ribosomal RNA is filed under the name uncultured candidate division GN03 bacterium. Its description in RNAcentral is "bacterial SSU rRNA". It matches the Rfam family "Bacterial small subunit ribosomal RNA", at positions 451 to 1373 of the family's 1533-position model. The record is from RNAcentral.
UCGGCCAAUACCCGAUGCGUCUGAAGGUACCUCCAAAGGAAGCUCCGGCUAACUCCGUGCCAGCAGCCGCGGUAAUACGGAGGGAGCAAACGUUGUUCGGAUUUACUGGGUGUAAAGGGUGCGUAGGCGGCUACGUGUGUCAGAGGUGAAAGCUCACGGCUCAACCGUGGAACUGCCUUUGAAACUGCGUAGCUUGAGUCCGAGAGAGGAUGGUGGAAUUCCUGGUGUAACGGUGAAAUGUGCAGAUAUCAGGAAGAACACCGGUGGCGAAGGCGGCCAUCUGGCUCGGUACUGACGCUGAGGCACGAAAGCUAGGGUAUCGAACGGGAUUAGAUACCCCGGUAGUCCUAGCCGUAAACGAUGUCCACUAGGUGUCGGAGGUCCUACCCCUUCGGUGCCGGAGCUAACGCAUUAAGUGGACCACCUGGGGAGUACGCUCGCAAGGGUGAAACUCAAAGGAAUUGACGGGGGCCCGCACAAGCGGUGGAGCAUGUGGUUUAAUUCGAUGCAACGCGAAGAACCUUACCUGGGCUUGACAUGCAGGGGACAGGUGUAGAGAUAUACCCUUCUUCGGACUCCUGUACAGGUGCUGCAUGGCUGUCGUCAGCUCGUGUCGUGAAAUGUUGGGUUAAGUCCCGCAACGAGCGCAACCCUUGUCCUUAGUUGCCAGCACGUCAUGGUGGGAACUCUAGGGAGACUGCCGGUGACAAACCGGAGGAAGGUGGGGACGACGUCAAGUCAUCAUGGCCCUUACGUCCAGGGCUACACACGUGCUACAAUGGCACAUACAGAGGGCAGCGAACCCGCGAGGGGAAGCCAAUCCCAAAAAGUGUGCCUCAGUUCGGAUCGCAGUCUGCAACUCGACUGCGUGAAGUCGGAAUCGCUAGUAAUCGCGGAUCAGCAUGCCGCGGUGAAUCCGUUC